This 1911-nucleotide ribosomal RNA is filed under the name metagenome. RNAcentral describes it as "bacterial LSU rRNA". It matches the Rfam family "Bacterial large subunit ribosomal RNA", at positions 1 to 1990 of the family's 2925-position model. The record is from RNAcentral.
ACAAGCUAGAUAAGGGCGUAUGGGGAAUGCCUAGGCUCUCAGAGGCGAAGAAGGACGUGAUAAGCUGCGAAAAGUCGUGGGGAUUGGCACAUACAAAUUGAUCCGCGAAUAUCCGAAUGGGGCAACCCACUAUAUUGAAGAUAUAGUAUCCGCAAGGAGGCGAACCCGGAGAACUGAAACAUCUAAGUACCCGGAGGAAGAGAAAACAAUAGUGAUUGCGCUAGUAGCGGCGAGCGAACGCGCAGAAGCCCAAACCAAUGAGUUUACGGACUUAUUGGGGUUGUAGGACUGCAACAUUGUUUGUACAAUGAAUUAGAACAAGUUGGAAAGCUUGGCCAAAGACGGUGAUAGCCCGGUAUAGGAAAGUUGAUAUAAAGCAUAGCAGUAUCCUGAGUAGUGCGGGGCACGUGAAACCCUGUAUGAAUCCGGCGGGACCAUCCGCCAAGGCUAAAUACUCCUGAGAGACCGAUAGUGAACCAGUACCGUGAGGGAAAGGUGAAAAGAACCCUGAAUAAGGGAGUGAAAUAGAUCCUGAAACCAUACGCUUACAAGCGGUCGGAGCCCUUUAGUGGGGUGACGGCGUGCCUUUUGCAUAAUGAGCCUACGAGUUACCGUUGCCAGCAAGGUUAAGCAGUUCAGCUGUGGAGCCGUAGCGAAAGCGAGUCUGAAUAGGGCGCUUUAGUUGGUAGUGGUAGACGCGAAACCGUGUGAUCUACCCUUGGGCAGGUUGAAGCUGUGGUAACACAUAGUGGAGGACCGAACCCGUUGACGUUGAAAAGUCUUGGGAUGACCUGAGGGUAGGGGUGAAAGGCCAAUCAAACUCGGAAAUAGCUCGUACUCCCCGAAAUGCAUUUAGGUGCAGCGUUGUAGAUAGUUUUAUAGAGGUAGAGCUACUGAUUGGAUGCGGGGGCUUCACCGCCUACCAAUUCCUGACAAACUCCGAAUGCUAUAAAAUGUUUUACAGCAGUGAGGGCAUGGGUGCUAAGGUCCAUGUCCAAGAGGGAAACAACCCGGACCAUCAGCUAAGGUCCCAAAGUAUAUACUAAGUUGAACUAACGAGGUUUGACUGCAUUGACAGCUAGGAUGUUGGCUUGGAAGCAGCCAUUCAUUUAAAGAGUGCGUAAUAGCUCACUAGUCGAGCGGUCGAGCAUGGAUAAUAAUCGGGCAUAAGUAUAUCACCGAAGCUGUGGCAUCGUAAGAUGGGUAGGGGAGCAUUCUAUGUGCGUCGAAGAUAAACUGUGAGGUUUGUUGGAGCGCAUAGAAAAGAAAAUGUAGGCAUAAGUAACGAUAAUGUGGGCGAGAAACCCACACACCGAAAGACUAAGGUUUCCUCAGCUAUGCUAAUCAGCUGAGGGUUAGUCGGGACCUAACGCGAACCCGAAAGGGGUAGUGGAUGGACAACCAGUUAAUAUUCUGGUACCUGCCGACACUAAAAGUGACGGAGAUGAAUAGUUAUUGCGUACUGACGGAAUAGUACGUUGAAGCGACUGUUAAGGUCGCGAUAGUACACCAAGACUUCGGUUGCGGUGAUAAUGUAGCGAAUCAUCUUCCUAGAAAAGCGAGUCAGGCAGCCCGUACCGCAAACCGACACAGGUAGUUGGGAUGAGAAUUCUUAGGUGCUCGAGAGAUUCAUGGCUAAGGAACUAGGCAAAAUUGGCCCGUAACUUCGGGAGAAGGGUCGCCUACAUUUAUGUAGGCCGCAGUGAAAAGUUCCAGGCGACUGUUUAUCAAAAACACAGGACUCUGCAAAAUCGAAAGAUGAAGUAUAGGGUCUGACACCUGCCCGGUGCCGGAAGGUUAAGUGGAGAUGUUAGCUUCGGCAAAGCAUUGAAAUGAAGCCCCGGUAAACGGCGGCCGUAACAAUAACGGUCCUAAGGUAGCGAAAUUCCUUGUCGGGUAAGUUCCGACCUG